CUUAUACUCCCUCCGUCCGGAAAUAGUUGUCAUCAAAAUGGACAAAAAAGGAUAUAUCUAGAACUAGAACUAAAAUACAUCUAGAUACAUCCCAUUUUAUUCAUUUUGAUGACAAAUAUUUCCGGACGGAGGGAGUACACG
Molecule: non-coding RNA, 141 nt
Organism: Triticum aestivum (bread wheat)
Lineage: Eukaryota; Viridiplantae; Streptophyta; Magnoliopsida; Poales; Poaceae
Source: Rfam